AGUAUUUGUCAGUAUUUGUCACGCUCGCUGGAAGGUUAGAUCUCUAUGAUCAAAUCGAGCCGAACCUCAUAAACACGCGAGAUACGAGCGGGGCGGUAGCGGCUCCAUAGGAUUUUCAUCUUUUUACGUAGAAUGGAGGAGAUCGACAAUAUAAUAAUUCACUCGUUGCGACAAAUAGGCUGUGACAUUGAAGAGAGUGUAAUAAACCUAAGUGGCUUUAAUACUGAACUAGUUGUUGAAGCAACAGUGAGAUGCUUAGAAGCGAUAAGGCCAGGUUUAGGAUUAUCUACUGUACUACCUGUAAACAUGGCAGCACGUUUUCGACUGGGUGCUACUCUUGCACAAACAUGCACGGAACUUGGAUACAGAGGUGACAUUGGUUAUCAAACAUUCCUAUAUAAUUCGGAAGCAGAUUUACGGAGGGUAUUCAUGUUUCUCAUUGAAAAACUGCCAAAGGAAAGUGAGAAAACUGUAAACGAAUCCGUCAGCAAAGUUGCUUUAUUAGAAAAAUCAGUAGCAUCUGCAAUAUCGCAAGGACUUUCAAUACCAUGGCUACCAUAUUAUUGUCAUAAAAAGGGCAUCAGGAACAGAGGAAGAGCGAGUACCCCUUAUGUAUCUGUAAAUAUCGAAGUACUGGUACCAAAUAUGGAGGAUGAUUACAAAGACUAUUACAUGCGCUAUUUACAACCAGUGCCUGAUCAAAUGCAAAAUAUUUCAUGCUUUUUAUCUUCUAUGAUAUCGUAUAAUGCAAGAGCACUUAAUAGUUCUUCGAUAGAUAUUAUGGAGCGUAUAAGUUGGCUUAAUAGCCAACAGUCUGAAAAAAUAACUCAUUCAAGUGGACAUAAUAUUGUUAAUGAGCUUAGCAAGUUCUCGUUAGAGAACAAGAUACAAACUUCAGCGGAUUCUCAAGUGGAACCAGGGUUUGCAAUACAUUCAGUGCUUUCAGAUCAGGAAACAUUAGAAAACAAAGCAAAACAGGAAGUUGAAAUAGAAAACAUGAAAGCAGAGUGCGAAAAUCUUAGAAUAAAUAUAGAGGAAAUGCAAAACGAGAUUAAAAAGUUAACUACUAAAUUAGCACAUGCGACGAUCACUGGUCAAAAUGAAGAAAAGGAAUUAAAAAUGAAUGAGGAACAAAAAAAGAUUAAAGCAAGAGCAUAUGAAUUGCUUCAAGAUGGACCAGAGAAUAUAAAGAAAUUGGAAUGUGCAAUCGAGAUUAGCACAAACAAAUUGAUUAAUUUAGCAAAUCAAUGGGAAAAGCACAGAGUACCCUUAAUCAUGAAGUAUAGACAAGAAAGGGAAAAACAUUCCACAAAAGCUAAUGCAAGCCAAAAGAAGUUAGAUGAAAUAAAAUUAUUGAAAGAAAAGGAGAAAGAACUUCAAGAGGAAUGUCGAAAUAAGGAUCAACAGCAUUCACAGCUGGUCGCGGAAGUUCAAAAACUUCCAAAGGAAGUGAAUAGAUCUGCAUACACUCAACGAAUCUUAGAAAUAAUAAAUAAUGUUAGAAAGCAGAGAGAUGAAAUAAGCAAAGUUCUGGCGGACACUCGUGAGAUUCAGAAAGAAAUUAAUAUGCUUACUGGCAGAUUAGAGAGAUCCUUUACCGUUGUCGAUGAACUAAUAUUCAGAGACGCAAGAACAAACGAAGCUUCGAGAAAAGCGUACAAACUAUUAGCGAUGUUACACUCGGAUUGCAACGAACUCGUAAGUUUAGUCGAAGAAACGGGCGCGACAAUACGAGAAAUCAGGGAUUUGGAAGAACAGAUUGAUUCCGAAUCCGCUAAGAAUGUCGGUGCUAAUUUGGAGAGGAUAACUGCCGAUUUGAAACAAAUGAAACAAGAAACCGCAGCAUUAACGGCACAAUUACAGAGUAAAGCUUCGUGAUUGUUAUGUAUAGUGUGGUCGCAUUUUACAUAUUGUAAUAUUCAGGACCAGAUAAGAAUAUAUCUAACACAGAAUAUAAAUGAAUACGAUCAAAAGCAUC
Formica exsecta is the source of this 1978-nucleotide RNA transcript. It is a transcript of the gene named coiled-coil domain-containing protein 22, with no coding region annotated. The record is from RefSeq and is a predicted model, not a curated record. Lineage: Eukaryota; Metazoa; Arthropoda; Insecta; Hymenoptera; Formicidae. The transcript has 8 exons.